GGGAUUGUGGCUUAGUGGUAGAGCUCUUACCUAGCACAUAUGAGACACUGAGUUUGAUCCUCAGCACCA
RNAcentral lists this transfer RNA (69 nucleotides) under Ictidomys tridecemlineatus (thirteen-lined ground squirrel). RNAcentral describes it as "Spermophilus tridecemlineatus (thirteen-lined ground squirrel) tRNA". It matches the Rfam family "tRNA". Rfam says of the family: Transfer RNA (tRNA) molecules are approximately 80 nucleotides in length. Lineage: Eukaryota; Metazoa; Chordata; Mammalia; Rodentia; Sciuridae. The record is from Rfam by way of RNAcentral.